GUCUUCGGACCGGCUGCGAGUCCUUUUAAAUGUACUAAACUGAACUUCUCUUUGCUGAAAAGUGGUGGCGUUGCUGGUUGUGAAGGCUGCUAUUGUGGCAAAUUGGCGACUGGUUUGUCUGCUGCGGCAUUAAUGGAAGAGUGUUCGAUUCGUGGUAUGGUUGGCUUCGGCUGAACAAUGCACUUAUUGGACGUUUUUCCUGCUGUGGCGUGAUGGACUGGUAACCAUAGCUCGGUGGCUUGGCUUUUGAAUUGGCUUUGCUGUUGCGAAGUAGGGUGCAGCUUCGGUUGUCGAGGGUCGAUCCAUUUGGGAACUUAAUGUGUACUUCGGUAUGCAUCUCAAUUGGACCUGAUAUCAGGCAAGAUUACCCGCUGAACUUAAGCAUAUUAAUAAGCGGAGGAA
RNAcentral lists this ribosomal RNA (402 nucleotides) under Phytophthora nicotianae (black shank of tobacco agent). Its description in RNAcentral is "eukaryotic LSU rRNA". The stretch from base 345 to 402 matches the Rfam family "Eukaryotic large subunit ribosomal RNA", at positions 1 to 58 of the family's 3401-position model. Lineage: Eukaryota; Oomycota; Peronosporomycetes; Peronosporales; Peronosporaceae. The record is from RNAcentral.